Molecule: long non-coding RNA, 1181 nt
Filed under: Manacus vitellinus (golden-collared manakin)
Lineage: Eukaryota; Metazoa; Chordata; Aves; Passeriformes; Pipridae
Description: lncRNA (ENSMVIG00005005661.1)
Source: RNAcentral
CAAAUAAUUUUGUAAAAGUGAAGUGGUCCAACUUCAAGUCUUUGUUACUGACCUCAUGAAUAUGCUUUUCAGGCAUCUGAGGCUGCUUCUUGGAAAAGAUGAUAUUGGACAAAUCCAUGAUUAGAGCCUUUGUAAUGUUAACCAUCCCUACUGCGCUGGAAUUGAUUACACACAUUUGGUGAAAGGCAAUUUGAAUGAGCAGAAUUUCUCCAGUGAUCCUAGUUUUAUUCCAUACAUCGAACAGCCAACCCACAAAAUGAGAGGGAGAAUUUUACAUAACGUACUUCCUAUGUGAUGCCCAGAUUUCCUCAACUGUUUCUCCAGCCAUUUUCAAAGGGACAGGAGGAGGAUGCAGUAGGGAAACCUGUGUUGAUGCAGCUCUGCACCAGCACACUGAUGUAGAGCUUCAGCUGGAUUCAAAAUAUACUGUGUUCGGUGGUUAAGCCCUUUUUCUUUGCAUCUUCCUAUCCAAAGAAGUAUUUACAUGAAAUGUCAGUCACCCCGUGGAAUUAUAUGAGAAUUAAUUAUCUGUGGAGAAUGAUUUGGCCCUAUUAAUUAUGGGUCUCAUGUAAGAAAAAGAAUAGGCCUAAUGUGUCAUAUGACUUUUUUCAGACAGUGAACUAGGAACUCAUAGGCAUCAAAUAUCAAUAAUGGUUUUGUUGAAUACAGAUUGAUGACCUCUGACAGAAAUUAUAGGAGAAACUUGUAUCAUUUUGUCUUAUUAUAGCCUACUAAGACCUUAGUCAAGAUUGGGGUCUUAUUUUCUUAGGCUGUCAUGCAAGGGGUUAAAGCCGAUAUUUAUCAGAUUAUUAUUUGCAACCAGUCAUGAAUGAAUAAGGCUUUAAUAUACGUAGAGUCAGAAAUAGCUGAUGUUAAAAUGCAAUUGCAAAUCAAAUACAGUAUUUCGUGGAGACAGUUAAAACAUUAUGUCUAAUUAAGUCUUCAUUUAAACAUGUGUGUAAUUUUGUUGUUCAGAAUUAUGUACAGCUUUGUAGACUGUUCCCUGCAGUGAAUCAUGGUGCCUGCUUGUAUCUUGCCAUUUGGUAAAGGAAAUCUUGAAUUUUAUGUUUUGCAGAUAUAGUCAAAUAUAAACAAAGUUCUAAGUUUUCUGAAUUAUUCAAAAUCUGUGUAUCUCACUGAGAAAAACUGAGUGUUUAUCAUUUUGUACUUUUAAAAUGUGG